CAUUUUCGUUUUUUUUUUUUUGCCCCUCGCGGUCAAUUUGCGAUCCCCCUUGGGUGAACUCCGAAGCGAUUUGCGAUCCCCCUUGGAUGAACUCCGAAGUCAAGCGUCGGGCUCGGAACGAUCUUUCCGAAACGUACUCACGGGCCCCGUGAGUCCAUCGGGAUCGAAAGUUUGGGGCGUGAACGCGGAGACGGGCGGAUUCCGUUUAUUGAGAAAUUAACUUUUCCCGUGUUUCGUCGUGGGGUCCCGUCGAUUGAACGGAAAUUGCGCGAAGUCGAACGCUCGAGACUCCUCUCGAGAAGAGAGAGUGAUUCGCUUCAAGUAAAUAUGCAAUGCAUAACAUGAC
Molecule: unclassified non-coding RNA, 346 nt
Filed under: Melaleuca spathulata
Lineage: Eukaryota; Viridiplantae; Streptophyta; Magnoliopsida; Myrtales; Myrtaceae
Source: RNAcentral